Molecule: signal recognition particle RNA, 298 nt
Filed under: Aotus nancymaae (Ma's night monkey)
Lineage: Eukaryota; Metazoa; Chordata; Mammalia; Primates; Aotidae
Description: Metazoan signal recognition particle RNA (ENSANAG00000004215.1)
Rfam family: Metazoan signal recognition particle RNA
About the family: The signal recognition particle (SRP) is a universally conserved ribonucleoprotein.
Source: RNAcentral
GCUUGACACUGUGGUGUGUGCCUGUAGUCCCAGCUACUCGGGAGGCUGAGGUGGGAGGAUCGCUUGAGCCCAGGAGUUCUGGGCUGUAGUGCGCCAUGCCGAUCGGGUAUCCGCACUAAGUUCGGCAUCAAUACGGUGACCUCCCCAUAGUGGGGGACCACCCGGUUGCCUAAGGAGAGGUGAACCGGCCCAGAUCAGAAAUGGAGCAGGUCAAAACUCCCGUGCUGAUCAGUAGUGGGAUCGCGCCUGUGAAUAGCCACUGCACUCCACCUGGGCAACAUAGUGAGACCCUGUCUCU